CUGAAUCAGAAGACCAGCCAUAACCUUACUGCUGCUUGUUCCCUUUGGCACAGCAGGGGUCGUACUCAUGUAGCACAGCUCCAUCUUGAACAGAUUUCCUCCAGGUACUAUCGAGAGCUGCCUGAGAGGAAGAUGAGAAUGAGUUCCAACCACAGCUGAUGAGCCCCAUCUGUCCAAAGGGACUGGUUUCAAGGCACAAGUCGACACAACAGAAGAUCCCCACUACACAGCUCCUG
Molecule: long non-coding RNA, 236 nt
Organism: Hypanus sabinus (Atlantic stingray)
Lineage: Eukaryota; Metazoa; Chordata; Chondrichthyes; Myliobatiformes; Dasyatidae
Exons: 4
Source: RefSeq, a predicted model, not a curated record